GACAGAGGGUGCAAACGUUGUUCGGAAUUACUGGGCGUAAAGCGCGUGUAGGCGGCAGGGCAUGUCGGAUGUGAAAUCCCGUGGCUCAACCACGGAAGUGCACCCGAAACUGCCCAGCUUGAGUCUCGGAGAGGAAGGCGGAAUGCUUGGUGUCGAGGUGAAAUUCGUAGAUAUCAAGCGGAACACCGGUGGCGAAGGCGGCCUUCUGGACGAUGACUGACGCUGAGACGCGAAAGCGUGGGGAGCAAACAGG
RNAcentral lists this ribosomal RNA (253 nucleotides) under uncultured bacterium. Its description in RNAcentral is "partial 16S ribosomal RNA". It matches the Rfam family "Bacterial small subunit ribosomal RNA", at positions 524 to 776 of the family's 1533-position model. The record is from RNAcentral.